GGGGGGGGGGGGGGGGGGGGGGGGGGGGGGGGGGGGGGGGGGGGGCGGGGUGAGGUGGGGGGGGGCGGGCGGGGGAGUGGUGUAUCGGGGCGUGCCCGGGCGUGGGGGGUGGGUGCGCGAACGGGCAGCUAAUACCGCAUACGACCUGAGGGAGACAGCGGGGGAUCGCGAGACCUCGCGCGAUUGGAGCGGCCGAUAUCAGAUUAGGUCGAUGGUGAGGUACAGGCUCACCAAGCCGACGAUCUGUAGCAGUUCUGAGAGGACGACCAGCCACACUGGGACUGAGACACGGCCCAGACUCCUACGGGAGGCAGCAGUGGGGAAUUUUGGACAAUGGGCGCAAGCCUGAUCCAGCCAUGCCGCGUGCGGGAAGAAGGCCUUCGGGUUGUAAACCGCUUUUGUCAGGGAAGAAAAGGUUCUGGCUAAUACCUGGGACUCAUGACGGUACCUGAAGAAUAAGCACCGGCUAACUACGUG
This 477-nucleotide ribosomal RNA is filed under the name uncultured bacterium. Its description in RNAcentral is "partial 16S ribosomal RNA". It matches the Rfam family "Bacterial small subunit ribosomal RNA", at positions 39 to 507 of the family's 1533-position model. The record is from RNAcentral.